This is an RNA transcript of Ooceraea biroi (clonal raider ant), 3221 nucleotides long. RefSeq lists it as uncharacterized. The record is from RefSeq and is a predicted model, not a curated record. NCBI's taxonomy places the organism in Eukaryota, Metazoa, Arthropoda, Insecta, Hymenoptera, Formicidae.
GGGGACGUAACUCGCGAGUGGGGUACGGUCAAUUAGACAUGGUGCGAUAAGUUCGACGUUAAAUGAGAAAACGCGACGCAUGUCAAGGAUUUCUUGUGCAAGAAAUGGCACGGGAGGAAAAAUCGAGCGGCGAGGUCGCCGCUGGAUUAUUUUUCGUAUAAUUCCCAUCUUAUUCACGGUAUAAUAGACGAGUGAUUCACUUGAGAAUCACCACGGAUCUUUGUGGUAAAAUGACAACAGGAAACACAUUCACGAACAUUUAUCCGAGUCUCAAGGAGGAGGGCUCGGUCUUGGGAGGCGCCACGCAGAGAGUUACGAGCUCGGAGAUAGGGUACGCCGGUUCACCACCGAGGGAUAUACUCGCAAGGGGACGCAGCAUAGACUCGGUGGACAGGCCCUUUCAUCCCAGCGACUGGGUGGACGUUAAUCUGGAAGUGUCCGGCCCUCCAAGGGCGAGUUCGGUCCUCACGAAUUCGACCGUCGACACUAGUCCUUAUCCCGCUACUACACCUACGUCCAGCUGCUCCAAUAUGAAGAACGUCACUCCCGUGCCACCGCCGAGACGUAAAAAGAGAAACCGGGGCAGACCCCUGCCGCCGAAACCGGACGAGAUUCCUGAGAACGCGACCAGCAAUUUGAGAUGCGGCGACGCGGCGAGCGAGGAACCGUUACGUUCCCCAGCCAGGUCGCCGAAGAUCAACGAUGCUGACGACCAGGACAACGAUGCCGAGACACGAACGACCGGACGCAUCUCCACGGAAGACGCGAGGCAUGAAGGGCGAAGGAUGAAGGAGAUCUAUGAGCACAAGGUUAACGGUACCGGAAGGAUAAUAUCUAGCGAUGUGGUUUCCGGCAAGAGGACGUCCGCCGACAAGAAAACUUCGAGGACUUCGGAGCCGAGCCACCAUCACAGGAAAGUUGUCGAGAACGACGAAUACGAGAGAUUCGCCUGGAGCCAGUCGAUUAAGGACUCUUCGACCCCUAAUCGCCAGGACAGACGGAAGUCGAAGGAGCUCGAGAAGCGGAUCAAAGAUUCCUCGAGGGACGACGACAGACCGGAAGCAAAUACAAGAACGAAGAACUACAGUACCGUCAGCCUGCCGAAUUACGAUGAGUUGGACGUGUCUAGGCAUCCUGCGAAAAGUACGACGAAGGACGAGAGAGGCAUGGGGGAGAAAAUGAAGUCGAAGAGACCCGUCAGAAGCAGUACCGGCUCGCUUCCGGCCGAAUCUUUUCUGUCGCCCUUCUCCGAGAAAACCAGCGUAUGCCUGGAGGACUAUAUCCCGCGUCGUGGCAGCAUCGAGCACUUGUCGCCGUACCAAGUGCUGGGGAAGCUGGGAUCCAGCGAGAACGAGGUCAUCGACGGCGGAUUCAUGAAGUACGAUCCGAGUAAAUUGGAGGAUUGGGACCUCAGCGACAUCAGUAAUUGCGACUCGAACCGGCGCACCUCCGCCGAGAAUUUGCCGCGGAUCGAAAUUUACAGCGACAAGUCCGCGGUAAGAGGACCUUCUGCGGGUGCGGACGUUGUCGACUACUCGCGGAAUGCUGAAACCGGCGAGGCCGAGACGAGCGAGGUCGAGAUCUCGUGCGUCCUUCGUGAUAUGACCUCGCCGCUGCAGAAGCCUGAGACUUUCGGCAAAGCAGCGUCGCCGAUGCCCGAUUCUGAUAAACAGUCCAAGUAUCCCGACGACUUGCUCGCAGAUCAGAACAGUUCGUUGAAGUAUUUCGAGCCUCCUAAGAUGUCGGAAGUCUGUCAAAUAUCACCGGUUUGUGAGCUAGCAUCGUCGCCAGGUCGUAGGGAACCAUUUUUCUUGAACGAGGAACUGCACCGCUCGGUUUUGGAUACGAUCGGAGGGUCCUGCAGGAACGGCGCCGUCGUCCGGGAAUCCGAUCGAUCGGCUGGCCAAUCGAGGUUGAUCUUCGGCCGCAGCCUGUCGAACGAGAGCGAGCCUUACGACGAGCCGUAUGAAUCCAAGGAGCUGCGUGCGCAUUCCGACGUAACGAGCAAACUGAUCAGGACGAUAUCGGAGGAGUCGCUGCCAAGGGAAAUGCUGGAGGGGGUGGACGAGGAGGUGAUCGUCGACUUCUUCGACGAGGGUUUGGCGAAGGACGCGACGGGCAACUCGGUGAAAGAUGGCCAUCCGGAUCAGCCGGCGAGAACACCGCCGCCGAGUCCGGAGCCGAAGAUCAAAGCUCAGAUUCUGGACAACGAUCACUCGAGUUUGCUGAAGGUACUGAAUGAUGAGGCAGCAGUCGAUGGGAGCAAUCUCAGCUCGAUGACGCCGAGCCUCACCGAGCUGGAGGUGGCGCUCUCGGAUAUGCUGGAGAAGGAGGAUCAGCCUGACGAAAGCGCCAAGAGCGAGAACACGAACGGAGAUUGCAAGCAGAUCCUUGCCGAGAGGAUUCUCGAGCCGAGGAUCGUCCCUGUGGAGAAGCGCAAUGCGAUUGACGAAAUAAUGGAUCGUCCAACGACCAAUGACGCUCUUCUAGCUGAUAGCGCGCCCGAACGCAAGACAGAUCAGUCAUCCACAUCCUUGGAGCAGAUUCUCGGAGACUCGGACUCGACCCCGAAGACGAGGAAGGUAUCCUUUUGCAUCUGGGAAGAGAGGGUCAUGACGGAAGUCGAUCUGAAAAACGACGAGAAACCGGAAACAAGCGAGAGCACGUGCGGCGCCGCGGCUAGUGCUAUUUCCAAAAAGCUAGGAUCGAGUUGCGACUUCUUCGAGAAUCUGGGGGAGGUCAAUGCGAAGGAUAAAGUCAGCACAAAGUCCGUCGGAGAAGCGCCCGAGAAACCGGACAGGUUGUUUCACAAUUUGGAUGAUGCAGCGGAGAUAUUGCAGCAGAUCCCGACGCCGCCACGAAGAAGAAACAGGAGCUCGGGCGUCAUGAAGGAACCGGUCAGGAUUGUAGAAAGUCACCACGAAGAACCUGACCCGUAUCCCAACGACAGACUCAUUUAAUAAUUUUUUAUCGCACGUGAUUUAGCAGCUUAGCAGUCUUGCUGUUAAAUUCAUCGUACGCGACGAUGCAAGGUUCUGAAGAUCCUUUUGUGCCAACCCAAUACAUCUAACUCGUUAAAUUGUAAUUAUUACAUCACACGAGUGGUUCAAAUUUAUAUCGGAAUUUAUUUGUGGCGGUUAAAUUCCGACGUAAGUCUGAACUCUUGUAAGUUCGUAACCAUCGGUAUGCAGAUUAAUAAAGAAGAACAAAGAGCGAGAAUA